GGGGCCUGCGGGUAUGGCGGCGCCUGAGGGCGCAGGAGCCCGGUCUGGGACAAAGGCGGCCGGUCUCCUCGCCUCCCUAGAGUGCCCUUUGCCGCUUUCCCUCAGGCUGCAGAUCAGUUUCAGUACAGGCGGGACCUCGGCAUGAGGGCGGCUGUUCCUGAGGUGUGAAGGCCCCUCUGUGCCUGCUGUGGGCAGAGGGCUGUGCGUGGGCAGGCCUUAUGUGGAGACUGUUGGGGAUUUACGUACAUGAUAAAAUAAAACCCUGCUAAGAGGCAUGAAGCAUUGAUUUCCUCCUGAAACACUUCCUUCUUGCACUUCAGAUAGCACCAGGUAGUGAAGUUGCUGCUGGUUGAGGAGCUGCACCUCUCCUGUCACACCCAGGGGCUCUGCAUGGCCUUCUAGAGGCAAAGACAAAACCAAAAAAUGACUUGAAAACGGAAAAAUGGCUUGAAAAUGGAAUGCUAAAAGCCUAUAAAUGGCACUGGUGCUUGCUUCUCUCUUGGCACAGGUUUCUGGUACAAAGGACUUGAACAGUUAAACCUGGGGACAAGGAGGUGCAGGUGGGGUCUGUGAGUGGGACGAGUACCCACUUUCCGCAGGAGUGCAACACACCAGGGGAUCCGGCUGCAGGUACUUUGUUCCCUUUGGAAAGGUUGAUGCGUUGGUUCAAUUCAAAAGGCAAAUUUAAAUAGAAAACUGCAAGCUGGACUGCUGUUCAUCAAGAAAUUACCAUUUUUAUGGACUUCAAGCAUACUGGAAGAUGAUAGUCUGGCACUGCACAUGAGCUUUCUCACAUCUCCUGGCAAAUCAAUCGCAUCAGACCCACCUGUCAGCACUGAGAACAGUCAGGGUAAACACUGAUACUCCAACUGAGGUUAACUGGAUGAAAGACAGCAGCUUGCACCCAAUUCUUCCGAAGAGCCACGUAUCCACGAUAUAACGUGUUGCAUCUACAGGCACACAAGUUAAUAAAAGCAGUAGGUCUCCAAACGCCAGGCUGGUGAUGAAGAUGUUUGGAACCGUC
Long non-coding RNA from Columba livia (rock pigeon), 1024 nucleotides. RefSeq lists it as uncharacterized. The transcript is spliced from 3 exons. The record is from RefSeq and is a predicted model, not a curated record. NCBI's taxonomy places the organism in Eukaryota, Metazoa, Chordata, Aves, Columbiformes, Columbidae.